CCUACGGGAGGCAGCAGUGAGGAAUAUUGGUCAAUGGACGAGAGUCUGAACCAGCCAAGUAGCGUGAAGGAUGACUGACCUAUGGGUUGUAAACUUCUUUUAUAUGGGAAUAAAAUGUUCCACGUGUGGGAUUUUGUAUGUACCAUAUGAAUAAGGAUAGGCUAACUCCGUGCCAGCAGCCGCGGUAAUACGGAGGAUGCGAGCGUUAUCCGGAUUUAUUGGGUUUAAAGGGAGCGUAGGUGGAUUGUUAAGUCAGUUGUGAAAGUUUGCGGCUCAACCGUAAAAUUGCAGUUGAAACUGGCAGUCUUGAGUACAGUAGAGGUGGGCGGAAUGCGUGGUGUAGCGGUGAAAUGCUUAGAUAUCACGAAGAACUCCGAUUGCGAAGGCAGUUCACUGGACUGCAACUGACACUGAGGCUCGAAAGUGUGGGUAUCAAACAGGAUUAGAUACCCCUGUAGUC
Molecule: ribosomal RNA, 460 nt
Filed under: uncultured bacterium
Lineage: Bacteria
Description: partial 16S ribosomal RNA
Rfam family: Bacterial small subunit ribosomal RNA
Source: RNAcentral